Non-coding RNA from Neotoma lepida (desert woodrat), 46 nucleotides. NCBI's taxonomy places the organism in Eukaryota, Metazoa, Chordata, Mammalia, Rodentia, Cricetidae. The record is from Rfam.
GUAUAGGUUCCUCUUGGAACCACCUAUCUCUAGAAAAACGGUCCUA